UACGUAGGGUGCAAGCGUUAAUCGGAAUUACUGGGCGUAAAGCGUGCGCAGGCGGUUUUAUAAGACAGAUGUGAAAUCCCCGGGCUCAACCCGGGAACUGCGUCCGAUACUGGCUGGCUUGAAUCCGGGAGAGGGAAGCGGAAUUCCAGGUGUAGCGGUGAAAUGCGUAGAUAUCUGGAGGAACACCGGUGGCGAAGGCGGCAUCCUGGACCGGCAUUGACGCUGAGGCGCGAAAGCCAGGGGAGCAAACGGG
RNAcentral lists this ribosomal RNA (253 nucleotides) under uncultured bacterium. RNAcentral describes it as "partial 16S ribosomal RNA". It matches the Rfam family "Bacterial small subunit ribosomal RNA", at positions 524 to 776 of the family's 1533-position model. The record is from RNAcentral.